CCGGAGCAGUAUUCUCGUACUCCGAUUUCAUUCGCUUCGUUGCGCACAAUUCCAUGGACCACCGCCGCUCGACGUACGUCGCGCCAGCACUCCGUCGCUGGUCGUAGAACAUUCUCAUUCGCCAAGGGGAGAAGUCGCUGUCGUGCGAGCGGAAUAGGGACGAGAGUUUUCCCUAGUUUUUCACGGUGCGAAGAAAAUUUCCGUGUUGUGUACUAUCGCCCACCGUUGAACAGGCAUCCGACUGUCGAGCGGGGCUGGAAUUCGCGAGUGCAAGUCCGUGGGAAGUCGCUGCAGCGAAGUGCAAGUGCCGUCGUUCGUCUUCCUAUGAAAACUCUUGAGUGGAAAUUGAUCAAUACCCGAGAAAUUACAAUAAGAAAAGCCUGAGCGGGUGCACGGAAGGUGGCCGGGAAAAGGAAGUUGGACUGCAGUCACCAGGAAAGCCACUGCAGCGAGUGAGUGUGUGAAAAUCCGCGUCCGCUGCGUCGUCAUCUCCGGUUGGGUGUCAGGUGUGCAAAAAUCUGUUUUCCUCGCGGUGCAGGUGUUUCUGUGCAUUUUCGCACUUCUCGGCCGCAUAGGGUGCCGUGGCCAACAUUUUCAGAAUCCUUACGAGGAAUUCCUCGAGUGUCGUGAGAGUGGUUGUGUGUCCCCAGCGGGGGGCGAGUCGGGUGCCCAUUUCGCGAAAGACGCGCCACAACAUUUGCCAGUAAACAGAGAAGUUUUCGCGUCUUGCUGAUCGGCGAGUAGUGAAAUUGCGUGGAAACUAUCGGCCGGUGGCAGGGUAAUUGCUACUCAGAUGCCGUUCACCUUUUGUAAUCAUCAUUGAACCGAGUCCUGGAUAUUUGAUGUUCGUCUAAACUAAAAUGAUACACCAGAACUCAUAAGGCUUUCAAAUUUAUGAUUCACACGUCCAAAUCAGUCGAACUUUGCUGCUGAAAUCCUACUCAUGAAGAAACAAAUUGUAUUCGGCAUUCAAAAUUAACAGAAAGUCAACCACAUUGACGUCGCCAUCAUGAUGGACAUGGAGCCACGGGUUGCCCUAUUACAGGAUCUACACCUGCAGAGAUUCGACACUAUUCGAUUUGCGUCUUACCGAACUGCCUCGAAACUUCGAUAUAUACAGAAAUCUACAAACUUACAUUUAGUCGAUAUAUGGAAUGUUAUCGAAGCAUUUCGGGAGAAUGGUUUGAAUACGCUUGAGCCACAGAGUGAAGUCAGUGUUGCCCGAUUGGAAACGCUCGUCUCAUCGCUCUAUCACAAUUUGAAUAAACGUCUUCCAACAGCGCAACAAGUUCCUGUCGAUUCUAAAGCUGGCCUAUUACUUAAUUGGCUUCUGGCUGCCUAUUCUAGUGAUAAUACCGGAAAAAUUCGAGUUUUCUCGAUAAAAGUAGCACUCGCGACCAUGUGUGCUGGAAAACUAGUUGAUAAAUUACGAUACAUUUUCUCUCAAAUAUCCGACAGUGCCGGGCAGUUAAUUCCGUGGAAACUUGGUGAAUUUCUUCGUGAGGUGCUAGCCUUACCGGCGGCCGUCUAUGAAUCUCCCACAUUCCACUAUAAGGAAAAUCUUGAAGAGGAAAUUUUCCCAGCCGAAAAUAAAAUCACAGUUAACGACUUUAUGGCCACACUCAUGUCCGAGCCAGGACCGUCGUGUCUAGUAUGGCUGCCACUCUUACAUCGAUUAGCUACAGUCGAAACGAUAGUUCAUCCGACAAUAUGUUCUGUAUGUCAUAAGGAGAACUUUACCGGUUUCCGUUAUAGAUGCCAACGAUGCCAUGCCUACCAGCUAUGCCAGGAGUGUUUCUGGCAAGGACGUACCUCAUUGAAUCACCAAAACGACCACGAAGUGAAAGAGUACUCGAGCUACAAAUCGCCAAGUAAACAAAUUGGUCAUUCGUUGAGGAAAAGUUUUCGUUGUGUACCGGAAAAGAACAGCCAAGUUUUGCCAAGAUUUCCUGAACAACCAGAGAAAACUUUGAAUUUGUCGCAUAUUGUGCCACCAUCACCACUUCCAUCACAUAAUGGUUUUUCCGAUCCAAGUAUGUUAGGUGGUCAGGGAGCGUUCGAUAGAAGUAGCACCCUCGAUUCGAGAGCAACAGGUCGAAGUUUAGAUAGUGCUGGAGCCUCUCUGUCUCGAGCUGCCUCGUCGAACGACGAGGAGCAUCGAUUGAUUGCGAGAUAUGCUGCAAGAUUGGCACAGGAAAAUCGAACGCCAUCUGGUAUCUCAAACGAUACUGCCGCCCUUAGUUCGGAUAAUUCACGAGCACAACGUGAACUUAUCGCCCAACUUGAAGCCAAAAACAAGGAGAUCAUGCGAGAAAUUGCCCGCCUUAAAACACAACAGGGAUCUCAACAAAUGAAUCCCGAAAGUCCGGCAUUAAUGAAUGAGCUUCGUCUGCUGAGACAGCGCAAAGGCGAGCUCGAAGGACAUUUGGGUGCACUUCAAGAUUCACGCCGCCAACUCAUGGUUCAACUCGAGGGUUUAAUGCGAAUGCUAAAAAAUCAACAAACUUCCAGUCCCCGUUCAACGCCAAAUUCUAGUCCACGUUCGGGCAAGAGUCCGCCGUUACCACAACAACAGCUUACCAACCAUCAACAGCAGCAACAAUCAACAGGAGGUCAAAUGUUGGGUGGAAAUCCAUUACGAACCGGAGGACCACUUACCAAUUCAUCACAAAUGCAGCAACAAGCAAUAGCAACGAAUAAUUCAAAUCAGGUUGCCAUCACUUCAAACAUGGUGAAUGUCACCAAUCAAAUUGAUUCGUCGCUGAAUUCCCUUGGAGGUGAUGUUCGGUCUGCUUUUGGAACGAACGGAGCUGCAAACGGUCCAACUGCAUCCACUAAUAGAAAUUUGCGAUCAGAUUUACAUAUUGCAGCUGAUUCUGUAACGUCUGCCAUGUCGUCGCUAGUGCGAGAGUUGAAUACAGAAAAUUGCCUUGUGGACUCUCCAAAUAAAUUUAGAAAACCUUUAGAAUAUCAUCCAAACAUAAUGUUCCAACAGCACUACUCGUAAUACAGGAAAACGGCAAAAAGGACAAAGUACAUGGAUAUAUCCUUACAGAUUUUGACGAAAGUAUUUCUUAUAAUACCGAAUGGCACGAAAAGCAGAGCAGUAAUCAAUGGCAAGAACAGUUUGCCCAAUGGAAUUUGAACGCGCAUAAUCAAUAAACAGAAAAGGAACUGGUCGUGGAGCGAAGGGUGUGAAAGGUUACGUUUAAAGUUGUUAUUUAUAUUAUUUACAAUAAAUAAUAUAAAGGAUAUUAUUGUAGAGAAUACGCCUUUAUUUUUAUUCUUUUAAAAUGACUCUUAAAGCAGAGAAAUGUGUUUCAACGUAAAUAUUAAGUGGGGACGUGUUACAUUGGGGAUAUUUAUUCAACAAAAAUAAAAGCAAAAACGUUUUAAGAAUAGAAAAUCUUUAUAUACAUAUUUUCAGGGAAUUCUGAUGAUCAAGAAAUUUUCAUUUAAUACUUUCAUGUCGAUGGCUACGGAUUAAUAUUUUUCCUGUAAAAGAUACAAUUUGAAAUGGGAAGUUGCAAAAAGAAAUUUUGUUUUAUUGAAUAAAAUAACAUUCAUUUUCCUUUGAUGUUAAAUAUUGUACUGUAAAUGUAGAUAAGCAACUAAAGUCUGAUUUUCUUUUCAAAGUUUUCAUAUCUUACACAAAUACAAAUUAUUUCCUGAUUCAAUUUUCAAAUACAAGUUAAAAUAGCUUUUGCUUACUCUUAAUGUAAAGAUGUUAUCGAACAUGAAUGUGAAAUUGUAUCUGUUUGUAAAAUCAGCAUCCAAUGUGGUUUCUGUGGUCGCAUUCUAAAAAUUCUAUAAAAUAUUAA
RNA transcript from Hermetia illucens (black soldier fly), 3821 nucleotides. It is a transcript of the gene named dystrobrevin beta, with no coding region annotated. NCBI's taxonomy places the organism in Eukaryota, Metazoa, Arthropoda, Insecta, Diptera, Stratiomyidae. The record is from RefSeq and is a predicted model, not a curated record. The transcript is spliced from 13 exons.